RNAcentral lists this unclassified non-coding RNA (341 nucleotides) under Mycobacterium sp. FI-08037. RNAcentral describes it as "partial contains 16S ribosomal RNA, 16S-23S ribosomal RNA intergenic spacer, and 23S ribosomal RNA". The record is from RNAcentral. Lineage: Bacteria; Bacillati; Actinomycetota; Actinomycetes; Mycobacteriales; Mycobacteriaceae.
UAAGUCGUAACAAGGUAACCGUACCGGAAGGUGCGGCUGGAUCACCUCCUUUCUAAGGAGCACCACGAAAAGCACUCCAAUUGGUGGGGUGCGAGCCGUGAGGGGUUCCCGUCUGUAGUGGACGGGGGCCGGGUGCACAACAGCAAAUGAUUGCCAGACACACUAUUGGGCCCUGAGACAACACUCGGUCGAUCCGUGUGGAGUCCCUCCAUCUUGGUGGUGGGGUGUGGUGUUUGAGUAUUGGAUAGUGGUUGCGAGCAUCUAGAUGAGCGCAUAGUCCUUAGGGCUGAUGCGUUCGUCGAAAUGUGUAAUUUCUUCUUUGGUUUUUGUGUGUAAGUAAG